UAGUCUGNAACCCGACUACAUGAAGCUGGAAUCGCUAGUAAUCGCGAAUCAGAAUGUCGCGGUGAAUACGUUCCCGGGUCUUGUACACACCGCCCGUCACACCAUGGGAGUUGGAAAUGCCCGAAGCCGGUGACCGAACCUUAGGGACGGAGCCGUCGAAGGUGGAGCCAAUGACUGGGGUGAAGUCGUAACAAGGUAUC
This 200-nucleotide ribosomal RNA is filed under the name uncultured bacterium. RNAcentral describes it as "partial 16S ribosomal RNA". It matches the Rfam family "Bacterial small subunit ribosomal RNA", at positions 1301 to 1500 of the family's 1533-position model. The record is from RNAcentral.